Molecule: transfer RNA, 92 nt
Filed under: Armatimonadota bacterium
Lineage: Bacteria; Bacillati; Armatimonadota
Description: Armatimonadetes bacterium (sediment metagenome) tRNA-Ser
Rfam family: tRNA
About the family: Transfer RNA (tRNA) molecules are approximately 80 nucleotides in length.
Source: RNAcentral
GGAGGGGUGGCCGAGUGGUUGAAGGCGGCGGUCUUGAAAACCGCAUCCCACCUUCGUGUGGGACGGGGGUUCGAAUCCCUCCCCCUCCGCCA